CGCGUGCUCUCCCUUUAGAAGUAGUUGCCGGCAUUGUGACUUGUCAGUUAUCUCCUGUAUCAGCCACUUGCCCGCCUUAAAGCAAAAGCCACUGACGUGUAAGUAUAAAAUAUUAAUAACUGAUCACUCGUCGACCCGAAAUGGGAGCUUCAGAUGUGCCUUUUACUUAACAAAUGAAAUGAGGCGGAUUUGGGGCACGCAGAGGCUUUUCACCUAACCCCCCCAAACAAAAUUUCACCAACCCCAUAUUCCUUUUGGACAUUGCACGGCCACCAUUAUUCUGCUCAAAUUGGGCUUCACUAACAAGGGGGCCCUCCGCAGCCCCUCUCUCUCCGAGAGCCUGUCACAUCAGGGCUCUAAGAGAAGCGCCCAGACCUGACAAAGCCGACGAAUGGAAUUGGCGACCUGCGCCUUCUGAUUGGAGUCCCGCGUACCAGCUGACCUCCGCUGGCUCUGCCACAAAAACCGGAGAGACGUGGAGACGGACGCCACUGGAAUUCUAACCGGCGCGCCCGGGAGGACACUGGAACUGAGCCGCCGCAGCAGCCGCACCAUGAAAAUCGGUGCAAAACUGGGGAGCCGUACAAGAAAAGGUGAACUGAAUUGAGCCCAACAGCCUCUCCCAAGCAUUCUUUUGAAUCUCUAACUUCCAGUUUAAGCGUCGAAGCAGCCAUGGAUCCUAAGAGCCAGUCCUCACCUCAGAAGCAGACGGUGAAAAACCGAUCCAGAUCUACGGACGAAAUCCAGCAGGCAAAGAAGGCCUUUCACACUCCUCAAAAGUCGCUUCCGGGAAACAGAGAAUUGGAUCAGCUGAAGGAGUCCACUGAUCUCGCCGAAAAGUCUCCUACAUCCGAGGAGCUGUCCAAGGGGGCCGCCUGAGUGGAGAUGCUCUGCCCUUCUGGAUGCUUCAAACCGCCUUUGGAAAUUUAUUUUUUAUUCUUUUCUGACAUAAAAAACGAUGUGUACACACAUUUGUCUGCUGCACUGCCACUGCUCUGUAAAUGCCAGAGGGGGAAUACAAGAAGCUGGGAAGAGGCGGACCACCCUGAUGUUCUCCUUUUAUUUUUAAUCGUUUUUUCAUUCAAAUGGGUUACAUUUUAAUUGUUAAAAUGUACAUGUCCUUUUCAGUUCUCCUUAAUGUGCAGUGGUUGGGGGUAAUGGUGUGGUGUAGCCGAUCCUGGCGGCACUGGACGCAAGUCAGGAAACGGCCAUGGAUGGGCCACCCAUCCUUCACAGGGCCCACUCAUGCAGACCCUCAUAUAGGAGCCAGUUUAUUACAUGUGACAUGCAUGCCUUUGGAGCUAUAGGAGGAGAAUGGGCAGACCCCACAUGGGCAGCAAGCCGCCUUGGGAUUUGAACCCGGAAUGAUGGAGCUGUGUGGAAGAAGUGUCUGCCACUGUGCCACUCUUGAAACAUAACAUGAUGACUUGUCAAAAAACAAAGCAGUGCCGCAUUUUAAAUGCACAGACCCUCGAGUCAGCGUAGUGUAAGAUGGGCUUUAGAUGACUUACACCUUCAGUUAAAUGAAGGACGCGUUUCUGUCUGGACAGUUCAUUUCACAGUCAAGCUCAAUCUAAAGCACUGAGACAAUGAAGGCCUCAAGAUUGUUUGUGCAGGUGUUAUCACGUAUUCAUUGUGUGACCCCGACUGAGUGUCCUAAUCUGCUGCUUUAUGGAAAUACUAGCUGUGCUACCCAUCUACAGUAACAUGGGGGGAAAUCUAAGUAAUCAACUUAGACCUCAAUGUUAAUGUUUGCAGUGCUCCACCUAUUGGAAUUUAUUUCGUAAUGCAUGUAGUAAUAAAAUGCAUUGCAUUUUUUCCAACAGAUGGUGAAUCACAAACAUUUCUAGUAAUAGAAUGCAUUAUGACAAAUCUUUAUAAUGUGGCAUCUGUUAGAAUGCAUAUGUCUCUGUUAUAUGCCAUUCGGUAAGGGAUUUGCUAAAAGCAGUGUUAAUGUUUGUGAUGCACC
Long non-coding RNA from Polypterus senegalus (gray bichir), 1969 nucleotides. RefSeq lists it as uncharacterized. The transcript has 5 exons. NCBI's taxonomy places the organism in Eukaryota, Metazoa, Chordata, Cladistia, Polypteriformes, Polypteridae. The record is from RefSeq and is a predicted model, not a curated record.